AAUAGAUACCCGGGUAGUCCACGCCGUAAACGAUGUCGACUUGGAGGUUGUUCCCUUGAGGAGUGGCUUCCGGAGCUAACGCGUUAAGUCGACCGCCUGGGGAGUACGGCCGCAAGGUUAAAACUCAAAUGAAUUGACGGGGGCCCGCACAAGCGGUGGAGCAUGUGGUUUAAUUCGAUGCAACGCGAAGAACCUUACCUGGUCUUGACAUCCACAGAAUUCUGCAGAGAUGCGGAAGUGCCUUCGGGAACUGUGAGACAGGUGCUGCAUGGCUGUCGUCAGCUCGUGUUGUGAAAUGUUGGGUUAAGUCCCGCAACGAGCGCAACCCUUAUCCUUUGUUGCCAGCGGUUAGGCCGGGAACUCAAAGGAGACUGCCAGUGAUAAACUGGAGGAAGGUGGGGAUGACGUCAAGUCAUCAUGGCCCUUACGACCAGGGCUACACACGUGCUACAAUGGCAUAUACAAAGAGAAGCGACCUCGCGAGAGCAAGCGGACCUCAUAAAGUAUGUCGUAGUCCGGA
RNAcentral lists this ribosomal RNA (520 nucleotides) under uncultured bacterium. RNAcentral's name for it is "bacterial SSU rRNA". It matches the Rfam family "Bacterial small subunit ribosomal RNA", at positions 777 to 1297 of the family's 1533-position model. The record is from RNAcentral.